GACGAACGCUGGCGGCGUGCUUAACACAUGCAAGUCGAACGGAAAGGCCCUGCUUUUGUGGGGUGCUCGAUUGGCGAACGGGGGAGUAACACGUGAGUAACCUGCCCUUGACUUUGGGAUAACUUCAGGAAACUGGGGCUAAUACCGGAUAGGAGCUCCUGCUGCAUGGUGGGGGUUGGAAAGUUUCGGCGGUUGGGGAUGGACUCGCGGCUUAUCAGCUUGUUGGUGGGGUAGUGGCUUACCAAGGCUUUGACGGGUAGCCGGCCUGAGAGGGUGACCGGCCACAUUGGGACUGAGAUACGGCCCAGACUCCUACGGGAGGCAGCAGUGGGGAAUAUUGCACAAUGGGCGGAAGCCUGAUGCAGCAACGCCGCGUGCGGGAUGACGGCCUUCGGGUUGUAAACCGCUUUCGCCUGUGACGAAGCGUGAGUGACGGUAAUGGGUAAAGAAGCACCGGCUAACUACGUG
This 468-nucleotide ribosomal RNA is filed under the name uncultured bacterium. RNAcentral describes it as "partial 16S ribosomal RNA". It matches the Rfam family "Bacterial small subunit ribosomal RNA", at positions 28 to 507 of the family's 1533-position model. The record is from RNAcentral.